AUGGAGGAGUCAGCGGCGGCCAGGCUGAUCUCGACGGAAGACGCCGUCCUCGAGAUCCUCCACCGCGUGUCCACGGAUCGCGCCGCCCUGCUCCGCUGCGCCGCGGCGUGCAAGCGGUGGCGCACUCUCAUAGCCGACCGCUCCUUCCUCAGCCGCUGCUGGCCGGAUGAGAGCGCCGGUGGUCGGUCCACCCUCCUCGGCUUCUUUAAUCGGCAACGCGUGGACAUCGACGACAAGCCUUCGUACCGGUUGUUUUUCGUGCCGCCGCCGGAGGGGUCUGUGCUCGGCGCUCAACGCCGUCUUCUUACAUCUAUCGUCGACGGCUUGCCAGAUGAUGACACACACAUUGCGAAGCCGCUCGCCGCGCGUCAUGGCCUCGUCCUUGUGCGCCUCCUCACCGGCAUCCGCUGCCAUGAAUCGGUCCACAUGGCCGUCUGCGACCCGUUCGCCCGCACGUGCCACAUGCUCCCUCCACUUGAGUGCAAGGUCUCCUUUGUCAGUUGCACUUUCUUGACCGGUGCAGAGUGCCACCGACAUCACCGGUCCUUGGACUAUUUCAAGGUGCUAGCCGUCGUUUCCUUCGACAACCCCAAGGGCAAGGACGAUCGGGAGCGUAACCUGUACACGUUCUCGUCCGCCGAGUCAUUGUGGAGCGGACCAAGAAAGUGUUUCGAUGAAAUCUACCGACCCGGCAAGCGCGGCUUCCAGUUUCCGCAAAUCAGCAGCGGCAACAAUGCCUUGUGUGGCACGACGGCGCACUGGCUCGUCCCGUACUACUUCGGCCACUUGGAGGAGCCCACAAAACAUUACACCUUGGACGUGAGCUCCGACACCGGACACACUUCCUUGACCGAGCUACCGACCGCCGUGAGCCUGACACAUAACAUAUUCUAA
This 894-nucleotide ribosomal RNA is filed under the name Triticum aestivum (bread wheat). RNAcentral describes it as "partial small subunit ribosomal RNA". Lineage: Eukaryota; Viridiplantae; Streptophyta; Magnoliopsida; Poales; Poaceae. The record is from RNAcentral.